This is a long non-coding RNA of Toxorhynchites rutilus septentrionalis, 1002 nucleotides long. RefSeq lists it as uncharacterized. The transcript is spliced from 3 exons. Lineage: Eukaryota; Metazoa; Arthropoda; Insecta; Diptera; Culicidae. The record is from RefSeq and is a predicted model, not a curated record.
UUCAGUCCGCACCAAGGUGCUAUACUAUAGGUGGACCGCAAUGUCAAAAUUGCUGUUCGGCCAUUGCUCGUGAAAAAACAAAUUUGUUUACAAAACAUAUCAUAUCUUUUGGUGACAAAUUCAUUCGUCGGCAAAAUAGCUGCUCGCGCUUUACUGUAGAUAUCUACAAUCAGCGGUCGAAUUAAAAACAGUGCAGAAGGAUGUUUUGAGUAUGUUUUAGCUUCUAGCCGCGCAAUCAAUGCUUUUUUUCCAAGCAAGAUGUACUUCUGUUUGGAUCCUAUCGGCGAGGAAAAAAGUACUUACGGCGACGGUGACAAGAAAUAGCGCUGAUUGCGAGAUUACCAGAUCCAGAAGAUCCGGAAGGGCUGUUACAAGUAAUUGGUUUUGCUAGAGCAAAAGGAGGUUGACAAUGAUUGCAACAGGUGAAAUAAACUGUUGGAAUCACGACUAUCGAUCACGCCAGAAGAUCCGGAAAAAGUUGUUGAAAGUAAUUGGCCACAGAAAAGUAUCCAUUUAUGAAGUCUAUCUCCAUCUCGGGGGAAAGUGUGGUAAACAAUGUCCGGGUUGUUUUUCGUUAUGCGGACCUUGUUUCCGCAUCCUUUUACUGCACAAUAAUACGGCAUCUGAAGAAAAUAAGAUAUUCACAAUAUAAUUUUGGCAUGAUAGAGAACCGCGAGAUGAACGAUUAUCUGUGGAGGAGUUGGACAACAGAUUUCUUAGACUUAUAGCACUUUAAUCACACUCACAAGCUCUUCAAAUCCUCACUGUCCCCCAAAACUAUUGAAUAAUAUGUAAUAUAAAUACCUUAUUGCAGCUCUAGUACACUAUUUUUCACGAAUAUAUAUUUGCUUAUUUCUUUCUUCAGUUGUUUUCCUCAGCGAGUUGAUAUGAAACCAUAACGACACAACCAAACAAAAAGUAAACAAUGCAGAAAGCUACGUCUCGCAACUCGUCUCACGUAUUGUCAUGAAAGUGUCAAGAACGAAACACCUAUAGUUUAGC